GAGUUUGAUCAUGGCUCAGGACGAACGCUGGCGGCGUGCUUAACACAUGCAAGUCGAACGGUGAAGCGCCUUCCUUUUUGGUGGGUGUGGAUGAGUGGCGAACGGGUGAGUAACACGUGAGUAACCUGCCCCCUUCUUCUGGAUAACCGCAUGAAAGUGUGGCUAAUACGGGAUAUUCUGUGCCUGCUGCAUGGUGGGUGUGGGAAAGAUUGCGCUUUUUUGGUGUUUUUGGUGGGGGAUGGGCUCGCGGCCUAUCAGCUUGUUGGUGGGGUGAUGGCCUACCAAGGCGGUGACGGGUAGCCGGCCUGAGAGGGUGGACGGUCACACUGGGACUGAGACACGGCCCAGACUCCUACGGGAGGCAGCAGUGGGGAAUAUUGCACAAUGGGCGCAAGCCUGACGCAGCGACGCCGCGUGAGGGAUGGAGGCCUUCGGGUUGUGAACCUCUUUCGCCAGUGAAGCAGGCCUGCUCCUUUUUUGUGGGUGGGUUGACGGUAGCUGGAUAAGAAGCGCCGGCUAACUACGUGCCAGCAGCCGCGGUAAUACGUAGGGCGCGAGCGUUGUCCGGAAUUAUUGGGCGUAAAGAGCUCGUAGGCGGCUGGUCGCGUCUGUCGUGAAAUCCUCUGGCUUAACUGGGGGCUUGCGGUGGGUACGGGCCGGCUUGAGUGCGGUAGGGGAGACUGGAACUCCUGGUGUAGCGGUGGAAUGCGCAGAUAUCAGGAAGAACACCGGUGGCGAAGGCGGGUCUCUGGGCCGUUACUGACGCUGAGGAGCGAAAGCGUGGGGAGCGAACAGGAUUAGAUACCCUGGUAGUCCACGCCGUAAACGUUGGGCACUAGGUGUGGGGGGCCUUUUCCGGGUUUUCCGCGCCGUAGCUAACGCAUUAAGUGCCCCGCCUGGGGAGUACGGCCGCAAGGCUAAAACUCAAAGGAAUUGACGGGGGCCCGCACAAGCGGCGGAGCAUGCGGAUUAAUUCGAUGCAACGCGAAGAACCUUACCAAGGCUUGACAUGUGCCGGUCGGCUCCGGAGACGGGGUUUCCUCCUUGUGGGGCCGGUUCACAGGUGGUGCAUGGUUGUCGUCAGCUCGUGUCGUGAGAUGUUGGGUUAAGUCCCGCAACGAGCGCAACCCUUGUCUCGUGUUGCCAGCACGUUGUGGUGGGGACUCGCGGGAGACUGCCGGGGUCAACUCGGAGGAAGGUGGGGAUGACGUCAAAUCAUCAUGCCCCUUAUGUCUUGGGCUUCACGCAUGCUACAAUGGCCGGUACAGAGGGCUGCGAUACCGUGAGGUGGAGCGAAUCCCUUAAAGCCGGUCUCAGUUCGGAUCGGUGUCUGCAACUCGACACCGUGAAGUUGGAGUCGCUAGUAAUCGCAGAUCAGCAACGCUGCGGUGAAUACGUUCUCGGGCCUUGCACACACCGCCCGUC
RNAcentral lists this ribosomal RNA (1425 nucleotides) under uncultured bacterium. RNAcentral describes it as "bacterial SSU rRNA". It matches the Rfam family "Bacterial small subunit ribosomal RNA". The record is from RNAcentral.